UGAUGACGAGACGCUAAGGCGUUGAAGCAGUGUAUGUCAGACUUCCAAGAAAAGCUCGCAAUGUCACUAAUAAAAAAUGCCUGUACCAUAACCGACACAGGUGGGUAGGUAGAGUAUACUAAGGGGCGCGAGAUAACUCUCUCUAAGGAACUCGGCAAAAUGACUCCGUAACUUCGGGAGAAGGAGUGCCUUAUUUAUAAGGUUGCAAUAACAAGAUCCAAGCAACUGUUUAUCAAAAACACAGGUCUCCGCUAAGUCGUAAGACGAUGUAUGGGGGCUGACGCCUGCCCAGUGCCAGAAGGUUAAAGAAGUUGGUUAGUGUAUGCGAAGCUGAUGACUGAAGCCCUGGUGAACGGCGGCCGUAACGAUAGCGGUCCUAAGGUAGCGAAAUUCCUUGUCGGGUAAGUUCCGACCCGCACGAAAGGCGUAAUGAUUUGGAUACUGUCUCGGAGAGAGGCUCGGUGAAAUAGACUUGUCUGUGAAGAUGCGGACUACCUGCACCAGGACAGAAAGACCCUAUGAAGCUUUACUGUAACUUGAAAUUGGAAUUGGACUUUGCUUGCGCAGUAUAGGUGGGAAGCGUUGAAAAUAUUCUUGCGGGAGUAUUGGAGCUAUCAGUGAGAUACCACUCUUGUAAUGUUAGAUUUCUAACUUUGAACCAUAAUCUGGUCAAAGAACAGUUUCAGGUGGGCAGUUUGACUGGGGCGGUCGCCUCCCAAAUGGUAACGGAGGCGUACAAAGGUUUCCUCUGAACGGAUAGAAAUCGUAUCUAGAGUGUAAAGGCAUAAGGAAGCUUGACUGUGAGACCUACAAGUCGAGCAGGGACGAAAGUCGGUCUUAGUGAUCUGACGGUACUGAGUGGAAAGGCCGUCACUCAACGGAUAAAAGUUACUCUAAGGAUAACAGGCUGAUCUCCCCCAAGAGUUCACAUCGACGGGGAGGUUUGGCACCUCGAUGUCGGCUCAUCGCAUCCUGGGGCGGUAGUACGUCCCAAGGGUUGGGCUGUUCGCCCAUGAAAGCGGUACGCGAGCUGGGUUCAGAACGUCGUGAGACAGUUCGGUCCAUAUCCGGUGUAGGCGCUAGAAUAUUGAGAGGAGCCUUCUUUAGUACGAGAGGACCGAGAAGGACACACCGCUGGUGUACCAGUUAUCGUGCCAACGGUAAACGCUGGGUAGCUAUGUGUGGAGUGGAUAACCGCUGAAAGCAUCUAAGUGGGAAGCCCACCUCGAGAUGAGUAUUCU
RNAcentral lists this ribosomal RNA (1241 nucleotides) under metagenome. RNAcentral's name for it is "bacterial LSU rRNA". It matches the Rfam family "Bacterial large subunit ribosomal RNA", at positions 1564 to 2814 of the family's 2925-position model. The record is from RNAcentral.